This 218-nucleotide ribosomal RNA is filed under the name uncultured bacterium. RNAcentral's name for it is "partial 16S ribosomal RNA". It matches the Rfam family "Bacterial small subunit ribosomal RNA", at positions 1284 to 1500 of the family's 1533-position model. The record is from RNAcentral.
AAUCUCAGUUCGGAUUGUAGGCUGCAACUCGCCUACAUGAAGUUGGAAUCGCUAGUAAUCGCGAAUCAGAAUGUCGCGGUGAAUACGUUCCCGGGUCCUUGUACACACCGCCCGUCACACCACGAGAGUUUACAACACCCGAAGUCAGUGGCCUAACCGCAAGGAGGGAGCUGCCUAAGGUGGGGUAGAUGAUUGGGGUGAAGUCGUAACAAGGUAGC